GGUGGCUCAGUGGUAAAGUGCUUGCCUUGCAUGCAUGAGGUCCUGAGUUCGAUUCCUCAGCACCA
This 65-nucleotide transfer RNA is filed under the name Dipodomys ordii (Ord's kangaroo rat). It matches the Rfam family "tRNA". From Rfam's summary of the family: Transfer RNA (tRNA) molecules are approximately 80 nucleotides in length. Lineage: Eukaryota; Metazoa; Chordata; Mammalia; Rodentia; Heteromyidae. The record is from Rfam by way of RNAcentral.